This 492-nucleotide ribosomal RNA is filed under the name uncultured bacterium. RNAcentral's name for it is "partial 16S ribosomal RNA". It matches the Rfam family "Bacterial small subunit ribosomal RNA", at positions 29 to 507 of the family's 1533-position model. The record is from RNAcentral.
AGUGAACGCUGGCGGCAGGCCUAACACAUGCAAGUCGAACGGCCACACAGUGAGCGUUUGCUCUUACGGGUGGCGAGUGGCGGACGGGUGAGGAAUACAUCGGAAUCUUCUUUUUCGUGGGGGAUUACGUAGGGCCACUUACGCUAAUACCGCAUAUGAUCUACGGCUGAAAGCAGUGGUUCUUCGGACCUUUCCCGUUUCAAUGAGCUGAUGUCGGAUUAGCUAGUUGGCUGGGUAACGGCCCACCAAGGCGACGAUCCGUAGCUGGUCUGAGAGGAUGAUCGGCCACACUGGAACUGAGACACGGUCCAGACUCCUACGGGAGGCAGCAGUAGGGAAUAUUGGACAAUGGGCGCAAGCCUGACCCAGCAAUGCCGCGUGAGUGAAGAAGGCCUUCGGGUUGUAAAGCUCUUUUAUUAGGGAAGAAAAGCAGCAGAAUUAUACCCGGCUGUUCUGACGGUACCCAAAGAAUAAGCACCGGCUAACUUCGUG